UUUCCUUAAAUGAUUCUGGUUACAAAUUUGAUUUUGAUGCUUCAGUUCAUGGUUUGAUUGGUUUGGAUUCUGAAGAUAAUGAGGUGAAUGAUGCCCGGAUGCUAAAUUGUUAGUGCCUUUGCGAACUAUUGUUGAUCAAAGUCUUUAUUUAGCAUAUCAUCCACAAUUAUAUCUUCCCCAAAAGCUUGGUGUGUUAAUGAUCUUUACAAUAUUCACUUCUUGAGGAAAAUGCUUCCUAGAGAGGAAUUGAUUGAGUUAGGAGAAAAAAGUAACUUGUCUGAAUCCUGAGUGAAAUAUGAAUCUUUAAAUUACUGUUGACGUUAACGGAUGAUAACUCAGAACAUAAGCCAUGCACAUCCCAUUGGAAACUGCUUGUUAGUAUUCAAAUUGUGAGGUCUGCCAGUCUCCAGGAAGCUUGUUACUCGUAGAGGGUGCAACCUUAUCUUGAUCAAAGCCUACGAAAGCUGAUGUUUGAGAACUUCCGCCAAUGUGAUGUUUGUUCAAUGCUGAGUAUCAAUAUCCCACACUCUCAAAAACUUGCCUUUGAUGAGCUAACUAGCUUUUUUCCCAGAACCAAUAAAUACAACAUCAGUCACCUGGAUCGCGAUGACCGCGAAGGCGAAAAAGACCGGUUUCUCUAACAACAUCAUUAUCUU
This 656-nucleotide long non-coding RNA is filed under the name Lathyrus oleraceus (garden pea). Its description in RNAcentral is "Pisum sativum (pea) long non-coding RNA (PSAT_LNC012088)". The record is from RNAcentral. Lineage: Eukaryota; Viridiplantae; Streptophyta; Magnoliopsida; Fabales; Fabaceae.